GACAGAGGGUGCAACCGUUGUUCGGAAUUACUGGGCGUAAAGCGAGUGUAGGCGGUUUGGUAAGUCGGAUGUGAAAGCCCCGGGCUCAACCCGGGAAGUGCACUCGAUACUGCCAAGCUAGAGUGUCGGAGAGGUUGGUGGAAUUCUCGGUGUAGAGGUGAAAUUCGUAGAUAUCGAGAGGAACACCGGUGGCGAAGGCGGCCAACUGGACGAACACUGACGCUGAGACUCGAAAGCGUGGGGAGCAAACAGG
RNAcentral lists this ribosomal RNA (253 nucleotides) under uncultured bacterium. RNAcentral's name for it is "partial 16S ribosomal RNA". It matches the Rfam family "Bacterial small subunit ribosomal RNA", at positions 524 to 776 of the family's 1533-position model. The record is from RNAcentral.